UUGUACAUUCCUACAACAUAAUGUUAGUGCAACGGAUCCAAUUAGAACUCUACAGUUAAGUGUGCUUAGGAUAGAUUAGUACAGGGAAGGGCGACUGCCUGUGAAGUCCUAGUGUUUUACUUG
This is a non-coding RNA of Picea glauca (white spruce), 123 nucleotides long. Lineage: Eukaryota; Viridiplantae; Streptophyta; Pinopsida; Pinales; Pinaceae. The record is from Rfam.